This is a long non-coding RNA of Podarcis muralis (Common wall lizard), 1028 nucleotides long. RefSeq lists it as uncharacterized. The record is from RefSeq and is a predicted model, not a curated record. Lineage: Eukaryota; Metazoa; Chordata; Lepidosauria; Squamata; Lacertidae.
UUGGGAGCCAGCAGUGUCGGCAGAAUGGUCAAGGUGCAAACAUGUGAACCUCUUACAACGGAUCGAUCUGGAGAGCACAUACAUUUUUUUAAAAAAAUAAAAUUGUUUCCGAUGGUUGGCGUCCCUUCCCUCCUCCUCCUGCUCUCCACUUAACGCUGACAUUUUGUGCAUGCGCUCUAAGAAAACCCUCAUCUGCUUUUCAUCAGGCAAACUCUAUGACACAGGAAACGAGCCAGCCUCACAAUAACUCUUUCCAGUUGCUUUGGAAUUUAAACAAAACUUCUGGCCGGUUGUUGCAUCCAACUUGGUAACCUCAACGUUCUGAGCUGAAGCCAAGCCAAACACAGAAAGGAGAAAGAAAUUCACAGCCUUCUAAGAAGCAAAAGAGAUAAAGAGGAGAGGGAGAGGGAGGGAGGGAGGAGAGGAGAGAGACUCAGGGAAUUUGGACUGGAGGAGGACCCGUGUAAGAGAAGAAAUUGCAUCCUGCUGAUGGCGUGAGGCCUUGGGAAAUCAGCUCCAUCGCAAACAAUUUAGGUAGGAUGAGGAGUCAGCAGGUGUGGAUCACAAUAGGGCAGGCUCACUAGGCCUCCCGCCUUGGCUGAAAUCCGACGCCAGCUUGCUCAGAAACAAGGAGUUUCGUAGCACCAUGGAUGUGAACUGUGGCGCAUACCUGAGCUAAGGAUGGUACCAAGAGAUAUGACCAAGGACGAAUGCUGGAGAUGAAAUCCACGUGUAUUCUUCUCGACUCAAAAGGGACACGUCAGAAGUGGAGCCACGAAGCCUUCUGCGCAGGCGCCCUGGCUCCGUGUGGGUUUAACAGGCUGCAAUUAAAUGCACACCAGAGCUCCACCAAAGCAACGAAAGAGACUUCCCUCCAGCAACGCAGAUGCAAAAAAAAUCCCGCCGGCUUUGAUUGACUGUGGCAACGCACACGUUGCAGGAGACACCGCCUCCUCCCUUCUAUCCUGACUGGGUUUUUGGACGCUUAAAAAGGCUGGGUGCUUUCCAGAACGAAGAUGUGUCUUUAA